AUGGACUUGGGAUAUUUUCAUUACUGUUAUCACUCUUGUUACUACCAGUUAUCAUCAUUAAAUGAUGUUGAUGUUGCUUGACCAUUGACCAUCUUGGAAUCCAUUUAUAAUGAGGUAAUGGAUAACCUGAAGCUAUACAGAUGAAAACAUGAGAGAGGGAGCGGAUAAUCAUGAUGACGAUGGAAGGUGGGAAAUGAAAGAAUUUGUUUUAAUUUACCUCCGACAAUUAAACGACCCGCUGAUGAGCUUGUUAAUAUUUCACCAGUUAAUCUACAGGUAACUCGACAUCGAUAUCGAUUAUUAUUCAAUGAAGAUGAAACCGAGCUAAUGUAAAGUCGAC
This is a long non-coding RNA of Panonychus citri (citrus red mite), 340 nucleotides long. RefSeq lists it as uncharacterized. The transcript has 3 exons. Lineage: Eukaryota; Metazoa; Arthropoda; Arachnida; Trombidiformes; Tetranychidae. The record is from RefSeq and is a predicted model, not a curated record.